Molecule: small nuclear RNA, 157 nt
Organism: Anser brachyrhynchus (Pink-footed goose)
Lineage: Eukaryota; Metazoa; Chordata; Aves; Anseriformes; Anatidae
Gene: U1
Rfam family: U1 spliceosomal RNA
About the family: U1 is a small nuclear RNA (snRNA) component of the spliceosome (involved in pre-mRNA splicing).
Source: Ensembl
AGGCUGCAGUGGAGACAACAUGAUCAGGCAGGUGGUUUUCGCAGGGCAAGGCUCAUCCCCUACACUAGGGGUGUGCUGACCCCUGUGAUUUCCGCAAAUGCGGGAAACUCAACUGCAUAAUUUGUGGUAGUGGGGGCUGUGUUUGCGCUCUCCCCUG